RNAcentral lists this ribosomal RNA (269 nucleotides) under uncultured archaeon. Its description in RNAcentral is "partial 16S ribosomal RNA". It matches the Rfam family "Archaeal small subunit ribosomal RNA", at positions 478 to 747 of the family's 1478-position model. The record is from RNAcentral.
AGCUCCCCGAGUGGUGGGGACGAUUAUUUGGCCUAAAGCGUUCGUAGCCGGCUUAGUAAGUCCUCCGUUAAAUCUGACGACUUAAUCGUCAGGCUGCGGAAGAUACUACUGGGCUAGGAGGCGGGAGAGGUCGACGGUAUUCCAGGGGUAGGAGUGGAAUCCUAUAAUCCUUGGAGGACCACCAGUGGCGAAGGCGGUCGACCAGAACGCGCUCGACGGUGAGGGACGAAAGCUGGGGGAGCGAACCGGAUUAGAUACCCGAGUAGUCC